RNAcentral lists this small nucleolar RNA (125 nucleotides) under Myotis brandtii (Brandt's bat). Its description in RNAcentral is "Small nucleolar RNA SNORA51". It matches the Rfam family "Small nucleolar RNA SNORA51". From Rfam's summary of the family: ACA51 is a member of the H/ACA class of snoRNA that guide the sites of modification of uridines to pseudouridines. The record is from Rfam by way of RNAcentral. Lineage: Eukaryota; Metazoa; Chordata; Mammalia; Chiroptera; Vespertilionidae.
GGCCUCCCAGUGCUUACCCCAGGCUGCAUUCGUACAGUGUACAGGAGGAGGCAGAGUAAACACACCACAUAUACACCUCAGCCCUAACCCUUUUUCUGGUCUACAGUGUGAAUGGGGAGACAUGG